RNAcentral lists this non-coding RNA (22 nucleotides) under Arabidopsis thaliana (thale cress). Lineage: Eukaryota; Viridiplantae; Streptophyta; Magnoliopsida; Brassicales; Brassicaceae. The record is from RNAcentral.
UUGGGCCUUAUCUUCACCAAAU